GAUCGCAGGCUGCAACCCGCCUGCGUGAAGUUGGAAUCGCUAGUAAUCGCGGAUCAGCAUGCCGCGGUGAAUACGUUCCCGGGCCUUGUACACACCGCCCGUCACACCAUGGGAGUCGGAAAUGCCCGAAGUCUGUGACCCAACCAUUAAGGAGGGAGCAGCCGAAGGCAGGUCGGAUGACUGGGGUGAAGUCGUAACAAGGUACC
This 206-nucleotide ribosomal RNA is filed under the name uncultured bacterium. RNAcentral's name for it is "partial 16S ribosomal RNA". It matches the Rfam family "Bacterial small subunit ribosomal RNA", at positions 1296 to 1500 of the family's 1533-position model. The record is from RNAcentral.